GACGAACGCUGGCGGCGUGCUUAACACAUGCAAGUCGAGCGGUAAGGCCCUUUCGGGGGUACACGAGCGGCGAACGGGUGAGUAACACGUGGGUGACCUGCCCUCAGCUCUGGGAUAAGCCCGGGAAACUGGGUCUAAUACUGGAUAUUACUCUGCGGUGCAUGCCGUGGGGUGGAAAGCCUUGUGCGGCUGGGGGAUGGGCCCGCGGCCUAUCAGCUUGUUGGUGGGGUGAUGGCCACCAAGGCGACGACGGGUAGCCGGCCUGAGAGGGCGACCGGCCACACUGGGACUGAGACACGGCCCAGACUCCUACGGGAGGCAGCAGUGGGGAAUCUUGCGCAAUGGGCGAAAGCCUGACGCAGCGACGCCGCGUGAGGGAUGACGGCCUGUGU
Molecule: ribosomal RNA, 392 nt
Filed under: uncultured bacterium
Lineage: Bacteria
Description: bacterial SSU rRNA
Rfam family: Bacterial small subunit ribosomal RNA
Source: RNAcentral